UACGUAGGUGGCAAGCGCUGUCCGGAUUUACUGGGUGUAAAGGGCGUGCAGCCGGGAAGACAAGUCAGAUGUGAAAUCCCGCGGCUCAACCGCGGAACUGCAUUUGAAACUGUUUUUCUUGAGUACCGGAGAGGUCAUCGGAAUUCCUUGUGUAGCGGUGAAAUGCGUAGAUAUAAGGAAGAACACCAGUGGCGAAGGCGGAUGACUGGACGGCAACUGACGGUGAGGCGCGAAAGCGUGGGGAGCAAACAGG
RNAcentral lists this ribosomal RNA (253 nucleotides) under uncultured bacterium. RNAcentral describes it as "partial 16S ribosomal RNA". It matches the Rfam family "Bacterial small subunit ribosomal RNA", at positions 524 to 776 of the family's 1533-position model. The record is from RNAcentral.